Small nucleolar RNA from Lampris incognitus (smalleye Pacific opah), 87 nucleotides. RefSeq annotates it as small nucleolar RNA SNORD103/SNORD85. The transcript has a single exon. NCBI's taxonomy places the organism in Eukaryota, Metazoa, Chordata, Actinopteri, Lampriformes, Lampridae. The record is from RefSeq and is a predicted model, not a curated record.
CUUGGCCAUGAUGACACACUUGCCCUCACUGAGAGAGCUGUCUCUAUAAUGAGAAACUACUUUGUACUCAAUUUUCACUGAGCCACA